CCUACGGGUGGCAGCAGUGAGGAAUAUUGGGCAAUGGAGGCAACUCUGACCCAGCCAUGCCGCGUGAGUGAAGAAGGUUUUCGGAUUGUAAAGCUCUUUCGGAUGUGACGAUGAUGACGGUAGCAUCUAAAGAAGCCCCGGCUAACUUCGUGCCAGCAGCCGCGGUAAUACGAAGGAUGCGAGCGUUAUCCGGAUUUAUUGGGUUUAAAGGGUGCGUAGGCGGAAUGCCAAGUCAGCGGUAAAAUCGCGGGGCUCAACCUCGCUCCGCCGUUGAAACUGGCGUUCUUGAGUGGGCGAGAAGUAUGCGGAAUGCGUGGUGUAGCGGUGAAAUGCAUAGAUAUCACGCAGAACUCCGAUUGCGAAGGCAGCAUACCGGCGCCCAACUGACGCUGAAGCACGAAAGCGUGGGUAUCGAACAGGAUUAGAUACCCCAGUAGUC
Molecule: ribosomal RNA, 439 nt
Filed under: uncultured bacterium
Lineage: Bacteria
Description: partial 16S ribosomal RNA
Rfam family: Bacterial small subunit ribosomal RNA
Source: RNAcentral